CAAUAGCGUAUAUUAAAGUUGUUGCGGUUAAAAAGCUCGUAGUUGGAUUUCUGCCUGAGCCAGCCGGUCCGCACUUAGUGCGUGUAUCUGGUUUGGUUUGGGCAUCCUCUUGGGGAUCGUUGCUGUGCUUAGUUGCAUGGUGCGGAAUUCAAGACGUUUACUUUGAGGAAAUUAGAGUGGUUACGGCAAGCUAUCGCUUUGAAUACAUUAGCAUGGAAUAAUAAUAUAGGGCUUUGGUUCUAUUUUGUUGGUUUCUAGGACUAAAGUAAUGAUUAAUAGGGAUAAUUGGGGGCAUUUGUAUUAACGCGUCAGAGGUGGAAUUCUUGGAUUGCGUUACGACAAACUACUGCGAAAGCAUUUGCCAAGGAUGUUUUCAUUGAUCAAGAACGAAAGUAUGGGAUCGAAGACGAUUAGAUACCGU
This 421-nucleotide ribosomal RNA is filed under the name uncultured eukaryote. RNAcentral's name for it is "SSU rRNA". It matches the Rfam family "Eukaryotic small subunit ribosomal RNA", at positions 592 to 1018 of the family's 1831-position model. The record is from RNAcentral.